UCGGCUGWCRCUUAUGGAUGGACCCGCGUCGCAUUAGCUAGUUGGUGAGGUAACGGCUCACCAAGGCAACKAUGCGUAGCCGACCUGAGAGGGUGAUCGGCCACACUGGGACUGAGACACGGCCCAGACUCCUACGGGAGGCAGCAGUAGGGAAUCUUCCGCAAUGGACGAAAGUCUGACGGAGCAACGCCGCGUGAGUGAUGAAGGCUUUCGGGUCGUAAAACUCUGUUGUUAGGGAAGAACAAGUGCUAGUUGAAUAAGCUGGCACCUUGACGGUACCUAACCAGAAAGCCACGGCUAACUACGUGCCARCAGCCGCGGUAAUACGUAGGUGGCAAGCGUUAUCCGGAAUUAUUGGGCGWAAAGCGCGCGCAGGUGGUUUCUUAAGUCUGAUG
This 395-nucleotide ribosomal RNA is filed under the name Bacillus cereus. RNAcentral describes it as "bacterial SSU rRNA". It matches the Rfam family "Bacterial small subunit ribosomal RNA", at positions 208 to 594 of the family's 1533-position model. Lineage: Bacteria; Bacillati; Bacillota; Bacilli; Caryophanales; Bacillaceae. The record is from RNAcentral.